AAGGAAAGAUAACACUUUAGAACAGUUUCCUUGAAAAAAUAUCAAGGAAAGAAGCAUCAAAAGAUAAUGGAUUUCUCCAUUAGGAGAAGAACGAACUUGAAUAAGAUUUAGUUUGUUGGAUGUUAUCAAUUACCCAUAUAUAGGAUAUAUGCUUCUAAGACAAUAUGAUUGUCAAUUAGAAGAUCUUCCAAAAUUUUCAUGACUCCAUAGGAUGUAGUUGGAAAGAAAGACAAGUCUUAAUUGUAUUAAGAUUUGGGGUUGGGUGCUAAUAAGCAAUAUUUGUUUGAGAAUUAUCUUGUGGGUAUCCUUAAAUUAACAUUUGGAUAUCACUUCUAUAAACCAACUAACAAAUGUUGUUUGUUGGAUAGUUCAUUAUAAUCCUACCAAAGGAUUUGCCUAAGAUAGAGCAAAUGAACGAGAGAUAGAACUCAAAGAAUGGGUUCUUUGAGAGACAAGAUGAUAACCAACAAAUAUAACAACCUAGUUCCUAUACCACAAGCUCCAAGGUAGUCGAGAAUGAUUUAUAAACUGUCUCAGUUGAAUGGUUUGAACUUUAUGACUAUGUCAUAGAGUUACACCUCUUAAUUCGAAAGAAAUAAGAAUGAAAAUCCUCAUGACUACAUCGAGUGCAUAUGUGACAUAUACUCAAGGAAAUGGUAAAGUACCAUUUGACCCGAAAUAAUGAAACCAUUAUAGCAAAUUGGUAGCUUAAGGUGACUACAAUCAAAGAGAUUGGUUGACUUUGAAGAAACCAUUUUUGACGUAGUCUUGGUUUCAAUUAAUUCGAAGAUAGCUAGCUACAACUAAAUGGUGAUUCAAUGUUUGGACAUAAUAUGGGUUUCCAAAACCAUUAUUAAGAUAGUCUUGAUAAUAUAUGUCUAAAACUAUGAAUCACAAGACAUGUAAGUUGUAGAGAUCCAUCAAUCAUGGAUCUUAGCAAGCUAGUGGGAGCUAUAAGCGUCUUAUGAGAGAAAGAUCAAAUUGUUUGAUUUCUCAUAAAAAUGUAAAUGAAUCUUUUGUUUACUAGGUUUACAAAAGAUUAGUGGGAGUUAAUCAUGUUCCUAAAUUUGAAUAUAUAUAUAUAUAUACACAUAUAUGAUAUAUUAAUUUUGGAAAUGAAAAGAAUACUUCUUCGUUAAGGUUAUGACUUUAAACAUUCUAUAACGAUAGAAUGUAUAUGGGAGACAUUGUCUAUAAACAUGGGAUGUAAAUCUAUAAUGAUAGAUUUCAAGAUAUAAUUUGAUUAUAUCAAUCCCUAAUAAUAGACAAAAGAUGUUAAGAGGUUUCUCAUAUGAUGAUAAACUUCAAUUAGAAGAACAACUCUAGUGAGACUAGGAGGUAGCUCUUCUCAAAGGGAACGUACCCUUUGACUCCCAAAAGAAAUAAUGCGUAAAUAGAAUCCUUUAUGCAUACGCAGAAAGGUGAUUUAUGUAUUUCAUAUUGUAUGAAAACAUUGAUAUGAGUUGUACCUAAAAAGGUACAAGACGAUAUCAGUGCAAGCCCAAGCCUAGGAUCAGAACCAUGGCAACUGUCAAGUGAGUCAUUAAGUAUUUAAGAAAUACUAAAGGAUAGAUUCCUCAAAGAAUGAGGAAGAAUUAGAGUAACGUAAAGGAAGCGUAAAUGUAUUAGAUUAUGAAUCCAAUCCAUCAUUGGAUGUUUCUUCAUUAUGAAUGAAGAGAUAAUCAGAUAUCUCUUUAUUAUGACUAAAGAGAUAUUUGGAUGGAAACAUUAAAAGUAAUGACUUUAGUGUGUUCCAUUAUGAAUGCAAAUAUAUUGCCAUAUAGAAGCUUACAAACAAUGUUGUUUGGAUGGGAAAGUUCAUUCAUGAACUCUCUAUUCGGUUCCAACUAGAAAGUGUCUCUAGUGUACUGAUACUACGACACUAAUGGGGCGAUAGCUCAAGCCAGGGAAUCAAGGUCUCAUCAA
Molecule: long non-coding RNA, 1926 nt
Filed under: Malus domestica (apple)
Lineage: Eukaryota; Viridiplantae; Streptophyta; Magnoliopsida; Rosales; Rosaceae
Description: long non-coding RNA (MDOM_LNC019500)
Source: RNAcentral